CCCCCAUCAUAACUUUUUUUCAAUGCCACAGUUCUUAUUAAUCAAAAUUUGCUUCACCACUUAAUUUCCAAUAAUAUAAUAGUUAAGAAAAAUAUGCUGUAGUUACUUAGUGGUAUAUUAGUAAUUUAAAAUGAUGACAAAAGGACUAUGUGUCCAAAUGGAAACACCUUCAAAAUAGUAAGUGAGAAAAGGAGGGGUGUAAAAUUAUACAAAUACUAUGAUGACAUGCACAUGAGAAAAAGAGACUGGAAGGAAAAGACCAAAUUAUAACAGUUUUUAUAUUAGUAACCUGAAAUUAUGGGUGAGUUCCUCCUUUAUUUUCUAACAAUUUUGUUGUAUGAUUUACGUUAUAAUAGAAUAAUGCAUAUCCCAAUGCUUUCCGUAAUACACAUUAAAACAAAGCACCCAUACAUAAUUUUUAAAAUCAUUUUGAUUUCACAUGUAUGUGAGAGGGUGAGUUUUGUAUGAAAUACAACGCUAAGUGUGUUUAGGAACAUCACAUAAAAUGAAUAAAAACCUUUCAGGAAGAAUAAGAAUCUAAGUCCUUCCAUAAAAAAAUAAAUUUUCUCUACCAGCUAAAAUCGGCUCUUUGCUGAAAAAACACUGUUAGAGCCAGGAGGAAACCUGAGGCUGCUCACUUUUCCAUGCGGAGGCAUUUCUGACAGAUGGAGCCUUCCUCUCCUUGCGUCUUUCAAGCCCGCAGGAAUUCUGCCCAGGGAAUCGGGGCCAGAGCUGCCGCUCCGACUCCUCAGCCGGCGCCCGCGCCCCCGGGGGCAUCUCUGCGCAGGACCGGCCUCGCGCGGCAGCAGCGCCCCAGCUGGCACCGAGGUCUCUGCAGGCUCUCACUUCUGCUAGUCUUGUCUCGUCCUCCCCUGCCCUCCUCUCCUCUCUUCUGUUUCCCUCCUCCUCCCCUCUCCUUCUCCUCUCCUUUCCUCCUCCUGCCCCCUCCUCUUUUCCUCUCCUUCCCUCCCCUCCCCUCCCCCCUUCUCUUCCCCUCCCUUCGUCUCCCCUCUCUUCCCUGCUCUCCUCUUCUCUCCUCUCUUCCCUCUCCUUUCCUGACGUCUGUAGGCCAAUUCAUAGACCUUACUGGAAACUGGCAAAAAAAUGUCUCUGGCCAUAGCAAUGGCCAACCAGUCUCAGAGGGACUUCAGGCAACUCUCAGCGGCCUGGUUCUGGAUCAGACGCCGAGCUGGCCUUUUUCAGAAAUGCUCUCUCAAACAAUUCUGUGAACUAGACACCAUCAUCAUGGGGGUCAAACUCCCAUUCGAUUCCCAGGCUACCCUACUGUUACCUCUUUUGGCCCAACUGACAGCCAUCUGGCCCCAGAAGCCAGCUGCCUAUCUUGAAGCUGAUCACAGAAACAUGAGUGAGCCUAGUCAAGACCAGAAGAACCGCCUGGAUGAGCCCAAGUGCUGACUCACAGAGUCAUGAGCUAAGUAAAUGGUUGUGGUUCUAAGCCACUAAUUUCUGGAGCUGUUUGCUAUUCAGUGAAAGCUGAUACUUACUGCUGCAAAUAUUUGAACCCAAAUUUCCUUGUCUUUUUUCCUCCCUCAAAUAUAAAAAAAAAAAAGGAGGCUUUUCAAUAUGACAUUUCUUCCCAGUAAACUAUCAUGUCUUCUCAACAAUAGGGAAGAAGUACCCUUCUGUGUUCACCUUACAGCCAUCAGAUUAAUGGUAUUUUUAUUUUAUUGUGCUGAAGCAAACACCUGAACAUCACUGUCGUUCUCCUUUCUUCAUAAAUGAGUUUUCUUACUUUUUCAUGCCCUGGCAGGCUUUGCUGUGAGCACACAAAUCCACAGCGAGCUGCCAGUGCUUGAGGCACCCGGGCUGGGGGGCCUCCAAAUACGUCCUCGCCCACCAUCGCGCCCUGUCAAAGCUGGCUAUCUCCAGCAGUCCAUUUUCACAGCUGUGGCCUUCUGAAGUGGGCUCCCCUCAAUGCAGGAAAAUAGCAGAUUGCUUUUAUGUUCAAGCAUCAAAGUUUAUUUUUGAAAUAUGUUUGCCUUCUCAUGAACUUCUUGAGGUUUUUGUGGGUAGGUGCAGAUAUAAGCUAAUUAAAUAAUUUAUUUUCAGGUGCCCCACCUCAUCAUGCCAAGAUCUGAAGGCAGCUGCAGAGGUCUCGUUCUCCAAGUGGACGGACUAGGAACCCUCCAUAGGACGCAGAUUUGAUGGUGCUGUGAAGCCCUCUCUCAAGCAUCUGCUCGUGCUCGUCACGAGGCCCGGAUUCCCUCCAGCAGCUUCUUCUUUCUUCUGACCUUGAAGGUUUUGUGACGUUUAAGAGUUCCUCAGCAGAGCUCAGUCUUCCUCCCAUCCUCACGUGGUGCAUCGUGGGAGCUGGCUGAUCCGAGUUAGGAGAAAGACCCUCUGCCACUCCCACGGUGGGACAGGUCCUGGGAGGGGCAGGCGGUGCCUGUUCACGUCUUGCAUCCUGUAUUUGGGGUGCUCUCAUUUUAAACGUUAGAACUAGUCUUUGGAAGCGUCUGCCAAUUCAUAGCCACCUCCUCCAGGUCCCUCUCACACUCAGCAGAUGGCAGUUUUCUUUUGUUCUUUGAGAGGCUAGUGUUCCCUCCUUAUUACUUUGGCAGCAGCUUUAUUUCACUGUUGAGGGGGUGUUCAAAUCACGGAAUUUCAUAAGAAUUCUUGGAGGUCCUCUCUUCUGUCUUCCCUCCUGCUUGAUUUCAUAAACCAGGAAGGGAGGAUCCAAGAGAAGAAGUGACUUCCCUGGGCUCUGAGCCUCCCCACCGAGGGCCUUAUUCCUCUCCUCAAAUACCACCCCUCCACCCCCCAUACUUAAGAACCCUGGGAUUGGAGGAGUUUAGUUUAAGAUUUAGAGGGGAAGAAAAGAAAGAGAGAAGGGAGAAAGAAGGAGAGAGAGGGAGGGAAGAAGUGAAAAAAAGGAAAGAAGAAGGAAGACACACAUUUCAAUGGGGAAAAAGCGUUAGAGCAAAGAUGUUUGCCAGAUCUUCAGACCCUCAGAUGUGCCGGAGGCCGCUGCUCUGGGUGAUCACGACCCCUCUCGCGGCGGGAUUUGUACUCUAGCAGCAGAACUGUCAGGUUACGACAAAUAGGGGUAAUAAGCUCCAUUUUCUUCCCCUUAUUUUAGGAAUAGAAAUCUUGAGCGUCAGGGUGGAAAAUUACAGAAGGGCAUCAGUGAUUCUCCCCACUAAUACCUACAAGCCACCACAAGCUUCUCCGUCCUUUGUUUAAGGAUCACAUUGCUUUCUUUUAAGGCAGUAAGACCUUAGGGUCCCUUGUUGGGUCCUGUGGCAGCCUGGAAACCUCUGCGGCAGGGAAGGAAGGAAAUCUAAAAGGAGGAGACUCCACAGGAUGUAAAGAAGUCGUCUUAGUUUAGGUCUCCUGAAAGCAGAGCCUGAGCACCUACUUUCUAAUCUCCAGACUCUCUGAGCAAAGCUGGACGGCUGUAGAAAGACAGAUGGCUCCAAGGAUACUUUGUUGGGUGUGAACCAAGCAAUCCUGUGGCACGAGGGCCAGGCUGAGGCCUGGUGCCCACUGAACCUGCUGUAGUGGAAGCCUCUGCAGCUCCAGCGUGCCCGUCUGCCUUGCCCAGACGCCCGGAGGAGAUGGUCUCCAGUAGCUCCUGGAAGGGCCCAGCCCACAGCCCAGCAGUGCAACGGAGAUAAGCCCUCCCUGGGCAGUCUGCAGCUGAGGAAAAGCCCACCAACAAAAUGUUCGCCCUUCUUGUUCCCAGUGGACACAGAGGCUGCAGCGUGCAUGUCUGCAUGUCUGCAUCCCAUGCAGCAGAGUGAGCACCGUGUUUCCUUGAGCAGCUCUGACCCUUCGCGCAAGAGACGGGAAAAUACAGGUGAUGGAAGCACGGACUCAGGACUUAGACUGGGUUGAAAUUGCAAGGCUGCUGCUCUCUGACUGACUGCCUUCAGGCUGGUUAUUUAACAUCGCCAUGCCUCGGUUUCCUCAUCUGCUCCUUGGCUUUUGUAAGCUUUGGGCAAGAUCCUCUCUAGGUCUCAUGGCUAUAAAGAUGCUAAUAAUAUCGACUCCACCCGGUUGUUGAGAACAUUCUAUGAAAUGCUGUGUGCAAAGUGCUUGCUGGCUGGCUAACAGUAAGAGCUCAAUAAAUGGUAGCUAUUUUUUAUUAUUUUUUUAUGCCUAAGAACAUGGGAAAUAGCUGCUCAGGCUCCACGAAAUCUAUAUAUGUUUUAAAACAGGACUCGGAGCCUUUGAACAAAAAGUCUCACCCCUUCUUCCUCCUCUCACUGUGUCCAGGGGCCUGUGCGCUCCCUAACAUGCGCCUCACACAUGAGUAAAGCCCGGAUGACCGUGCUGCGCCUCGGAGCUGCCUGGACCCCUGGGAUUUUGCCAGAUAUGCUAAAUGGUAAAUGCUUUGAAAUAUAGUAAUGCUGUGCCAUUCCCAGUGUGUCUCUGUUCAUUUCUCUGCAGACAGUGUCUAAGUAAUCAAGCAUAGCAUAUGCUUCACUAGCACUUGCAGUUACAUCAGGGAGCACCCAGAUCAUUUAACAUCUCAUUUACUUUAUAGUCUAAUAAGAAGCUCUUGAAAUGCCCAGCUCCGCUUCAGAUAUCAGAAAAGAGAACAGUGGAUGUGAUCUCACUGUAUAUUUUACUGAGCUUCUCUUGGGAAAAGUCUUUGCUUGGGGAAUCAUCAGAAUUUCCCCUCUCCAAGUUACUUUCACCGAGUUGCAAUUAUGUUACAUUUCUUGACAAAUUCUGGGUUUUUUGGUAAAAUUGUAGUUAAGGAGAUUCUCGUGUUACUCAGUGAUGCCUGCGUGAAGUUCCAGAUUUACAUUUUUCUUUCAGGAUUGAGGCCAGUGGAGACUCAGUCCCCGCUGGCUAGGACACGAUUUCGCAAUUUUCUGUGUCCUCUUUGUUUUCACUGCUGGAAGCUCAGAGCCAAAUUUGAUUCAAUCACAUUAUGGAGCCAUUAUCCUAACCUUUGGCCUUGAUUAUCUUUUACUCUUUUAUUAACUUUUUUAUAUAUGUCAUUGUUUUGAUCUUCCUCAUUUAUUCCAAAAGGCAGAGUGUACGUAUUAAAAUAAAUUACCCAAAGGACUUCCUUCGAAUGGGUUGGGGUCCUCAGUCCCCCACGGCAUUGUGCGCUGGGAUGGAAUUAGACGCUGGGGUUCUUGCCCUGUCAUCAGUGAGCCUUUCUUAGGACCGAAACUCACCAUGUACAGGGCUCAACUCUCUACCGCGUCAAGUCUCAUUUUGCAAGCUGGAACCACUUAGGAAUCAACUUUCUCAUUUUGGGCAAGUCCCCAGGAAAUAAAACAUUAACAUUAAAAUGUUUUAUUUUAAAUUGCUAUGUUACAAACAGCCCAUAACAAGUAGAGCAAAAAAAAGGUCCAAAGUAAUAAGCUAGUUAUUGUGCCAUCUCUUCCUUGAUUCCUAAUUAUCUCAUCAAAUUGCUAGAUCCUUAGAAACCUUCACUAUAGCUGCCCGCACAUGAAGCAUCAUUCAGGGAAGUAAACAUUUUAAGUUUUUACAGAAAAGAGAAAAUGUCGAUUAGAACAAUGCAUCCCUAGUUCAAGGCCAAUGUGAACCAGAAUUUUGAAACUCCUAUCACCUCAAGCGUACUAAACAAAUAAAGAGUCCUAACUUGGAAUUGUGGAUGCCUCUAGGGGGCACAGGUUUCAGUCGCUAUUCUGAAGCUGAAUUAGCCCUCACCUUGAUAGUCUCUCUCCUCCCUCUUUGGGUAUGUGUUCCCUGGGGCCUGGAGGCCCAUUGAUGGUCACCAAACACGUGGGCUUUCUGUUUGUGUGUUCCUCUCCACUUGGGCAGGAGAAACACAGCUGCAUUGAGCAAUUUUGUGUGAAAGAUUUCCUAACGACACCCACAGCUCUUCAUCUGCUCUUCAGCAGGGAGCUGGAGCCUGGAAGCAGCAGGCUGCCAGCCCGUUAAGGACUGAGCGCUCCUAUUCGGAUCCUUAUCUCUUUGGCGGCACAGACAUGCUUAUUAGCCAUCAUUAUUGUCUUCAGGGACAUUUUACUCUAUCCGUUUCCUAGGUGGCUUUGAGGAGCCUUCUGUAUUAAUCAGGGGCAGGCUAACUAUUAUAACAAACAUCUCCCAAAUCUCAGGGUGGAAUACAAAUGCUUAUUUCAAUGGAAUACAAAUGCUUAUUUCUCACUCAAGUCACAGGUCAAUGUGGAAUGGGAUCUGGGGGAUAGGAGGGGCCUGGGGGUGUUUCCCAGACCCUUCCGUCUUCCACCCAGUUCUAGGUCCUUGGUGUCCUCUCCAUUUGGUUAGAGACUGGGGACCCAGACAGAGCAUGGAUUAUUAUGUGGGAAGCUUUUCUGGCUCAGGCCUGUAGGUGGCACCCUUCAUUCUGCCCAAGUUCUUGGCCACGCGGACACAUCCAUGUGCAGGCAGGGCUGAGGUAGGUAGUCAGGCUGAGCGCCCCGAAGGGAAGGGAGCUGUGGCUUGGAGAGCAAACAACAGUCUCCUCUUCACAUUCUGUUGCCCCAAAUUUUCUAUCUUUUCUUAUAUUAGCAAUUUUUGGCAAAUAGGCUAUUUGUAAGGAAUUCACCCCAGUAAGGAGCCAUGUGUUCAGUGUGGCUUUUUUAUUCUAUCUCCCAAAGUCUCUCCUUUCACCAUCAAUACCUACCAUCACUUGUGAUUCACUUAGGGUUUUGUUUGCUUGUUUCUCUCAACUCAGUCCAUAACCAAGUUCAAAGUGUCUCCAUCAGAGGAGCGGCUCCCAUGCCUCUAGGGGUCAGGGAGAUAAAAGGACAGACUGUAAUGGGAUGAACAUAAGAGAAAGUGAAUUGUUGAGGCUGCUAAAAGCAGAGUGUGCACGUGGGCGGAAAGGAGGCGGCUGCCGUGCGGCCCCUGCCCAUUGCCGCCAAGAAUGAAGGUGGCCGGGGCGGCAAGAGCUUCUGCUUAUGUAAGACGCAGAAACUCAGAUUUUUAAGUAAAAUGUCCUCGUUUGUAAAUGUUGGCCACUAACUAAACUGUCUUUAAACCUCUGAGCAGGCCGUUCAAAACACAUCUGAGGGCUAGACACAGCUGGUAGGCUGUCAUUUGCAAUUUCUAUUUUAACUUUUCUGCCCUGGAGCAAAGACAAGCUCUCAGAAGAAAUCAGAGCAGGAAGCCCAGCCUCUACACACAGGCCUGGUCCUGAGGGUUCAGGGGCUCUCACCUCUGCGAGGGUAGCUAACACUCAGAAUUCUGCAUGUCGAGCACCCCGUUAUUUCUUCACAAAUGUUACAAAUACAGGAUGUAUGUGAAAAAGUCAAAGUUCUUUUUCACGGAUAAAAACGAAAGGGAUGGUGAAUCAGACUGAUGCUACUUAGUCAGAAACUGAUAUUUGUGUGUGUGUAUGUGUGUGUCUGUGUGUGUGUGUGUCUCUGUGUGUCUGUGUGUGUUCACAUGGUCAAUGGAGCUUGUCUAUACUUAAAGUGGUAUAUACUUUAAGCUAAAUUAGCAAGAAUGCCUGGUGGAAAUACAUAAUUUUAUAGUGUUUUGUUUUUAGAAUCUUGUCAAGGGGUGAAGAAUGGAAGGGAAGGGGAUGGAAAAAGUAAGGAGCACAAGAAACAAUACAAUGGAAAAUAUUACCUUAGGAAACCGCUUAGUGGAACACAAAAAGACGGACAGGAAUAGAAAUGAAAACGGGAGCGGUGGGCCCACCGGGAGAUUUUCGAGCAAUGGUUGGGAUGGGCUUGCAGUGGAGGGAGUUCCUACUUCUCUAAGCAACAAAAGCAAAUCCCAACAUCCUUCUUUAGGGAUAAAAUGAGCCAGGAAUGCCUCACAGGAGGUGGGAGCAGAUGACUUUAAUGAUCCUUGGCACACUGAGACUCUGGGACCACCGGGAUAGAAUUUGCAAAGAGCGAAAAGGUUAAGAUGUGGCAUAAAGUAAGUCCCAAAUUAAAAGAACAUGGAAAAACAUUCAAAUAAAUACAGAGACCCUUAAGAGGAAGGAUGUGAAUUAACACAGGGAUAGCAGAUAAGAAUUCAUAGGAACUUGAGGUUAAGGACACCAAAUAUUAUAAAGUUAUAGAAGAAACAGAAAAAAAGUGAGUGGGUGUGUGUCUGGAAGGAGGAGAUUGCUUCUAGAAGCCCAUGCUAUACAUAACCAGACUUCACUGGAGGUCUGACCUUUGUGCACUUGCCAGUCAUAUCUUUUCUUGCUCAGUAGCCACGUCUGUUAUCCUUGUAUAUUGUCCCUAGCUCGGGUUUCCAGCCUAAGAUCCACAAUGUACAUUCAUAGCAGAUGCAGUCUUACUUAGUGAGUUUGGUGGAAGUAUUUUGUUUUUAUUCACUCACCAACACUUCUUUCAAGCAUCACUUCUCACAAACAGAAAUUUUGCACGUGUCUGAUGUACCGUGGGGAGGUUUCAUUCUGUAAACGUCUUCCCUACAAUAAAGCUUCAAUUUGAGGCGGCUUUCCUUUUCUGAGACACUGGUCUGCUUUUAACACUAGAACAAUAAAACUUUGUAUUUUGUAACUAGCCACUUUACAGAGUAAAUCUUUGCAAUAGUGUUUUCAAUUUCUUGAAGUUUUUCUUAUCUAUACUUAAUUUUUAAAAGUAUAUCAUGAAACUUAGCAUAGGCCUGGCCCAUGGUGACAUGAAGCAUCAGUAAUUGAAAUGUAAGUCAUCAGCUGUGAUUUGUUUCAUACAUCUCAUUUUAACCAACUAGGUUUUCUUUUCUGCAAAUAGAGAGCUAAAUAUUUUAAAUCCCUAUAUAUUUGUGGAGACUUUGGAAAUUGCUUAAGUUUCAUUGGCUAAUGAUACAAAUUUCUGGUAAAUAUAUAAGAACUUUAUAAUGGCAGGAUAUUCAUUCUAAAAGCUUCUGUGAAUAAAAGGAAUUUCCAUGAUGAAUUUGAGGCUCAAUCCCACUGAUAUUUUUUUUUCUUUCUUUCCAGAAGUUCUAUUACCUUUAUUUUUUCAAGGCACUGAAGGGAGUAAAAACAAAUCAAAGAUAAACUAAAACUUAGGGUAAAUCUACAUUCCUUUAGUUACAUGCCAAAUUUGAUUAAGGCAAGUGAACUCUUCUGAAAGGAAUAGACAAGUAAAAAAUGCCAAAGAAAGGGAGAAUUCACUUACUUUCACCCGGCUAAUUCUGUCCACACAGUAACAGUGCUCGUAGUGCCGUGGGCGGAUCUCCACCUAUGGUUCUGAUUGUUCUACUUGGACUCUCCUGAAAUACCCAAGGUCCCCACACAAAUUUGGGUUCCUUUUUAGUUGCCAUUUGGGAUUAAGAAGCCAAAGGAGAAAAUGAGGAAGUGCAUAAUCCCCCAAACCAAGCCACCACCGUCAACCCCACUAAAGAACAACAGAUCCGAACCAAAGAGGGGAACAGAGGCGUCUAAGGGACAAAGAGGAGCUACAAAAGGCCCGGGGAAAGCCACCACGCUGCCCGGCUCCCUGGGCUCUGUGCAGCCUAUGGCUGCUUGAGUUCAUCUCUGUUCCAGCUCAGGUUUCCAGCCCACACAGGAAACACCAACGCAGCUAGAAUGACAAAGGAAUCCUGGCCACUGAUGCUAGAGUGAAACAAGUUCAGUGUGUUGCCUUUGCAGCAGUAAAAAACAUACAGCCGCGGAAUUCCCACUUUAUAGGAAAUUCCUCCUCUAUAAGAAUUCUCCCUAAAAAUGAACACUAGAAAAGAAAAUAUAGAAGUACUUGCCAAGAAUGGGAAGGCCUGAGAUUGUAUCAUUUUCCUUCACUAAGGUAUUAGAUUCAAGAAUGUCUGAACUGCGUU
Equus caballus (horse) is the source of this 9687-nucleotide non-coding RNA. NCBI's taxonomy places the organism in Eukaryota, Metazoa, Chordata, Mammalia, Perissodactyla, Equidae. The record is from RefSeq and is a predicted model, not a curated record.